Molecule: ribosomal RNA, 87 nt
Filed under: Calycanthus floridus (eastern sweetshrub)
Lineage: Eukaryota; Viridiplantae; Streptophyta; Magnoliopsida; Laurales; Calycanthaceae
Description: partial 5.8S ribosomal RNA
Source: RNAcentral
UGCAGAAUCUCGUGAACCAUCGAGUCUUUGAAUGGAAGUUGUGCCCGAGGCCGUCAGGACAAGGUCAUGCUUGCCUGGCCGUAACGC